CCGACCUAAACAAGGCGGAUGCCAUGAGAAAAACGUAACGCAAUGGCAUGGCUGUGUAGCGUUCGAAAAACGCUCGACGAAAGAAAAUUUAUAGUAUGUAGCUUGCGACGAGUGUAGUGAGUGAAAUUAAUAAAGUGAUCUAAAGUAUAAAACGUAAGAUGUAUAAACUGGAUGUACCUGAAAGUGUCAAAGAAGCAGAAGUAGAGGUACGAAGUGAAGUUAACUUUCUGCAAGGAAACGACAGCCAAAGGCAUUACCUGCUAUAGAAAGUUAUUGGAGUUAUCGUAGCAAUGAUUUUCUUGGCACUGCCUUCUGAGAACUGUAAGGACGACUGUCGGGCACGUCGUACAGGAUGCCGGACACGUGGGAUGACUGGAAUAUAGCGGGAGUUUCACCUUGGAAUAAGAGAACCAGUGUGUCCUGUUAGAACACCGUUGAAGCGAAGGGAUGAAUCACAUCCACUAGGAGGCAAAACUCAUGGACUGUAUUCAUGUGCGUCUCAAGGGUCGUGACGACGAAAACUUACGAUCCUGUCGUUAGCAGCUGAGAUAUUUCUAAAUUAAUCGAGGCAUUCGUUGUAUGUACAGCUGACCUCACAAAUAAAUUUAACUCAGU
Long non-coding RNA from Cephus cinctus (wheat stem sawfly), 615 nucleotides. RefSeq lists it as uncharacterized. The transcript is spliced from 3 exons. The record is from RefSeq and is a predicted model, not a curated record. Lineage: Eukaryota; Metazoa; Arthropoda; Insecta; Hymenoptera; Cephidae.